GUCUUAAUAGCAAGGGGAAAAUAUUAUGGACAGGGUCAUUUGAUGAACUACAAGCUUUCGUAGAAGAAACGUUGAACUUAACGGGCGGGAAAUGGCUCUCCCCUGGAGGCGAUGCUAAGCUGUACCAAAAUCAAGCGACAGCAAUUAAGUGGUAUGGAAACUCAAAAACGUUAACUGUCAGCGAGGACACCAUAGGAUCAAUCGAGGAACAAC
This is a non-coding RNA of Paramuricea clavata, 213 nucleotides long. Lineage: Eukaryota; Metazoa; Cnidaria; Anthozoa; Malacalcyonacea; Plexauridae. The record is from the annotation of a GenBank genome assembly.